UGCCAAUAUGUUCCCCCUUUUCUUUUAUGAAGCGUAUGGAAUAAUCUUGUUUAAUUUCACCCCUUAAUACAUGCUAAACAAUAGAGCAGUACCGUUCGAAGACAUGACCCUGCCAGCAUUAAACUAUGCCAAAACUUGUUCAUAUAACACUUUAUUAAUUUGCCUAGCAUAUCAUUUAAGUGUGACAAUUAACACAUACUUCUGUAACGGAG
This is a non-coding RNA of Pelobates cultripes (western spadefoot toad), 212 nucleotides long. The record is from the annotation of a GenBank genome assembly. Lineage: Eukaryota; Metazoa; Chordata; Amphibia; Anura; Pelobatidae.